UACAGAGGUGGCUAGCGUUGCUCGGAAUCACUGGGCGUAAAGCGCACGUAGGCGGACUCUUAAGUCGGUGGUGAAAUCCUGGAGCUCAACUCCAGAACUGCCUUCGAUACUGAGAGUCUCGAGUCCGAGAGAGGUGAGUGGAACUGCGAGUGUAGAGGUGAAAUUCGUAGAUAUUCGCAAGAACACCAGUGGCGAAGGCGGCUCACUGGCUCGGUACUGACGCUGAGGUGCGAAAGCGUGGGGAGCAAACAGG
Molecule: ribosomal RNA, 253 nt
Filed under: uncultured bacterium
Lineage: Bacteria
Description: partial 16S ribosomal RNA
Rfam family: Bacterial small subunit ribosomal RNA
Source: RNAcentral